CACGGGGGGAGCAAGCGUUGUUCGGAAUCACUGGGCGUAAAGGGCGUGUAGGCGGUCAGGUAAGUGAGAUGUGAAAUGCCCCGGCUCACUCGGGGACCGGCAUCUCAUACUGCUUGGCUUGAGUACGGGAGAGGAUGUGGGAAUUCCUGGUGUAGCGGUGAAAUGCGUAGAUAUCAGGAGGAACACCGGUGGCGAAGGCGCACAUCUGGCCCGAUACUGACGCUGAGGCGCGAAAGCUAGGGGAGCAAACGGG
RNAcentral lists this ribosomal RNA (253 nucleotides) under uncultured bacterium. RNAcentral's name for it is "partial 16S ribosomal RNA". It matches the Rfam family "Bacterial small subunit ribosomal RNA", at positions 524 to 776 of the family's 1533-position model. The record is from RNAcentral.